Molecule: ribosomal RNA, 690 nt
Filed under: Kuraishia molischiana
Lineage: Eukaryota; Fungi; Ascomycota; Pichiomycetes; Pichiales; Pichiaceae
Description: partial small subunit ribosomal RNA
Rfam family: Bacterial small subunit ribosomal RNA (bases 187-690)
Source: RNAcentral
AGUCAAUGAUCUAACGAUUGAUCUAGUUACUUAGAAAGAUGAUAAUAUUAUGUAUUAUAAUAUAUAUUAAUUCUUUGGAUUAAUUAUAUUAUAAUAUUUUUUAAUAUUAUAUAUUUAUUAUAUAUUUUAAUAUAAUAAUAAAUAUUAUAAUAAUAAAUAUUAAAAAAAUAUUAAUGUAAAAUAUAAAAUCUAAAUAUAUAAUUAAAUAAUGAUUGAUUAUAUACAAUAGUCUUAACAAAUAAUAGUGCCAGCAGUUGCGGUAAUACUAUUAAGGCUAACGUUAAUCGAUAAUUGGCUUAAAGGAUCCGUAGGAUUGUAUUAAUAUUUAAUAUUAAAUUUAAAUAUAUUAAAUAAAUAUAUAAUAUAUAUUAUAUUAUAUAUAUAAAAAUACUAGAAUUUAUAUAAGGAUUUAAGAAUAGUUAAAUGAGAGCUAAUAUUCUAUGAAAUUAAUUAGACUGUCAAAGGUGAAGACAUAAAUCUAAGUAUAAAUUGACAUUGAGGGAUGAAGGCAUAAGUAGCGAAAAGGAUUAGAUACCCUUGUAGUUUAUGCAGACAACUAUGAAUACCAUUUAUAAUUAUAAAAUAAUUAUAAAUCAGUGAAAACGAAAGUAUUCCGCCAGGAGAGUAUAUUCGCAAGAAUGAAAUUCAAGACAAUAGACGGUUACAGAUCUCAGCAGUGGAUUGUGUUAU